Molecule: ribosomal RNA, 255 nt
Filed under: uncultured bacterium
Lineage: Bacteria
Description: partial 16S ribosomal RNA
Rfam family: Bacterial small subunit ribosomal RNA
Source: RNAcentral
UACGGGGGGGAGCAAGCGUUGUUCGGAUUUACUGGGCGUAAAGGGCGCGUAGGCGGUCGUGACAAGUCACUUGUGAAAUCUCCGGGCUUAACUCGGAACGGUCAAGUGAUACUGUCGUGCUAGAGUCCGGAAGAGGAGAGUGGAAUUCCCGGUGUAGCGGUGAAAUGCGCAGAUAUCGGGAAGAACACCCGUGGCGAAGGCGGCUCUCUGGGACGGUACUGACGCUGAGACGCGAAAGCGUGGGGAGCAAACAGG